UAUGUAGGGUGCAAGCGUUAUCCGGAAUUAUUGGGCGUAAAGAGCUCGUAGGCGGUUUGUCGCGUCUGCUGUGAAAACUGGAGGCUCAACCUCCAGCCUGCAGUGGGUACGGGCAGACUAGAGUGCGGUAGGGGAGAUUGGAAUUCCUGGUGUAGCGGUGGAAUGCGCAGAUAUCAGGAGGAACACCGAUGGCGAAGGCAGAUCUCUGGGCCGUAACUGACGCUGAGGAGCGAAAGCAUGGGGAGCGAACAGG
RNAcentral lists this ribosomal RNA (253 nucleotides) under uncultured bacterium. RNAcentral describes it as "partial 16S ribosomal RNA". It matches the Rfam family "Bacterial small subunit ribosomal RNA", at positions 524 to 776 of the family's 1533-position model. The record is from RNAcentral.